Long non-coding RNA from Lolium perenne, 556 nucleotides. RefSeq lists it as uncharacterized. NCBI's taxonomy places the organism in Eukaryota, Viridiplantae, Streptophyta, Magnoliopsida, Poales, Poaceae. The record is from RefSeq and is a predicted model, not a curated record.
GAUUCACCGCAUUGGAGUCCAUAUGUGAGGGUUGUAUCUACGUCAGGCCAUCGCGCAGGUCCGUGCACGUGGCGUGCUCCAAGUAGUGCCGAUGUCAUCCUCAAUCUGCUUCGGGACAGAUAUACCAACCUGAUGGAGAAGUGUGCGAAGGGGCGUGCACCAAGGUUUGAUGGCUUGAAGAAGUACACAGCGGAUUGUGCGGACUAGUGUCAUUCGUAUAAUGAGCUCAAUGAGAUGAUUGCCGGUGUUGGCCUCUAAGUGCUGAUGAGAUCUCCUGUUGGUGCUCAUCAGUGGUUGAGGUCGAUCCAUCCCAGGAGACUGAGCUUCAGUAUGUUCCCACGGAAAGAGAGCAAGGGCUUCAAAUUUGAUCAUGUUUUUGGCUGGGCUGAUGAUCAAAGUAUUUACUAUUCCUACUUGGUACAUACCCGUACUUCUGUUUCAAAAUAUGAUAUGUUAUGAAGGCCCAUAGUGUGCACAGGGCUACAAAUAUGUACUGUUAAAUUAAUAAUCCGAUUGAGUGAAUGGCAUAUGCAUUCAUUUCCUGAAUAUAUUUUUA